GCUGAAGUGGCAGAAAGAUGUUUUAAUGCGUUGGAUUUAAGCUCCGAAGAUGAUAAGUUCCUUUGGUU
This 68-nucleotide transfer RNA is filed under the name Charinus carajas. RNAcentral describes it as "tRNA-Leu". The record is from RNAcentral. Lineage: Eukaryota; Metazoa; Arthropoda; Arachnida; Amblypygi; Charinidae.